GAUGAACGCUGGCGGCGUGCCUAAUACAUGCAAGUCGAGCGAACGGACGAGAAGCUUGCUUCUCUGAUGUUAGCGGCGGACGGGGGAGUAACACGUGGAUAACCUACCUAUAAGACUGGGAUAACUUCGGGAAACCGGAGCUACUACCGGAUAAUAUUUUGAACCGCAUGGUUCAAAAGUGAAAGACGGCCUUGCUGUCACUUAUAGAUGGAUCCGCGCUGCAUUAGCUAGUUGGUAAGGUAACGGCUUACCAAGGCAACGAUGCAUAGCCGACCUGAGAGGGUGGUCGGCCACACUGGAACUGAGACACGGUCCAGACUACUACGGGAGGCAGCAGUAGGGAAUCUUACGCAAUGGGCGAAAGCCUGACGGAGCAACGCCGCGUGAGUGAUGAAGGUCUUCGGAUCGUAAAACUCUGUUAUUAGGGAAGAACAUAUGUGUAAGUCACUGUGCACAUCUUGACGGUACCUAAUCAGAAAGCCACGGCUAACUACGUG
RNAcentral lists this ribosomal RNA (497 nucleotides) under uncultured bacterium. Its description in RNAcentral is "partial 16S ribosomal RNA". It matches the Rfam family "Bacterial small subunit ribosomal RNA", at positions 28 to 507 of the family's 1533-position model. The record is from RNAcentral.